Electrophorus electricus (electric eel) is the source of this 462-nucleotide non-coding RNA. Lineage: Eukaryota; Metazoa; Chordata; Actinopteri; Gymnotiformes; Gymnotidae. The record is from RefSeq and is a predicted model, not a curated record.
UCCGCCCCUCGUCUGUUCCUCAGGUCUAGUUCGUGUUUUGGUUCUCCCUGUUGUGUUCACCUGCGUCUGAUUAAUCCUCGAUUGUUCUGGUUAUUUUAGCCCUGUGUUUUGUCGUCUAGUUUGUCAGUUAUUUUGAAUCGCUACAGACGGAGAGAUUGAGACAUAACAGGAAAUGCCCUAGACAUGCAUAUGUGUGAUUAUGCAAGAAGACGUGUACGAGACGAUCAGACAGAGGUGACGGCUGAGAUGAAAAAACACCAAAGCAGAAGUGGUGCAAGGCGAGAGAAAUAUAAGUCUGUCUGUUGCAAAGUUAUGCUUUAGAUCUCACUCGCACUGCGUUGUGAAGUGACAUCUCCAGAGCUCUGCAUUAAUAAAAGGCCACAGGGUAACGCACUGGAUCCUGUCUCUUCUUUCCUGCAUCAACGGACACGACAGACGUCAGUGAAGAGAGUUACAGUCGUG